UACAGAGGGUGCGAGCGUUAAUCGGAAUUACUGGGCGUAAAGCGUGCGUAGACGGUUAUGUAAGUCAGGUGUGAAAUCCCGGGGCUCAACCUCGGAACUGCCUUUGAUACAGCACGUCUCGAGUCCGGAAGAGGUGGGUGGAAUUCCUAGUGUAGAGGUGAAAUUCGUAGAUAUUAGGAAGAACACCGGUGGCGAAGGCGGCCCACUGGUCCGGUACUGACGCUGAGGUGCGAAAGCGUGGGGAGCAAACAGG
RNAcentral lists this ribosomal RNA (253 nucleotides) under uncultured bacterium. RNAcentral's name for it is "partial 16S ribosomal RNA". It matches the Rfam family "Bacterial small subunit ribosomal RNA", at positions 524 to 776 of the family's 1533-position model. The record is from RNAcentral.